RNAcentral lists this ribosomal RNA (253 nucleotides) under uncultured bacterium. Its description in RNAcentral is "partial 16S ribosomal RNA". It matches the Rfam family "Bacterial small subunit ribosomal RNA", at positions 524 to 776 of the family's 1533-position model. The record is from RNAcentral.
UACGAAGGGGGCUAGCGUUGUUCGGAAUUACUGGGCGUAAAGCGAACGUAGGCGGUGUUCCAUGUCAGAGGUGAAAGCCUGGGGCUCAACUCCAGAAUUGCCUUUGAAACGGGGACGCUUGAGUCCGAGAGAGGGUGGCGGAAUUCUUAGUGUAGAGGUGAAAUUCGUAGAUAUUAGGAAGAACACCAGUGGCGAAGGCGGCCACCUGGCUCGGUACUGACGCUCAGGUUCGAAAGCGUGGGGAGCAAACAGG